This 459-nucleotide ribosomal RNA is filed under the name uncultured bacterium. RNAcentral describes it as "partial 16S ribosomal RNA". It matches the Rfam family "Bacterial small subunit ribosomal RNA", at positions 338 to 795 of the family's 1533-position model. The record is from RNAcentral.
CCUACGGGAGACAGCAGUGAGGAAUAUUGGUCAAUGGGCGGGAGCCUGAACCAGCCAAGUCGCGUGAGGGAUGACGGCCCUAUGGGUUGUAAACCUCUUUUGCCGGGGAGCAAAGUGCCGCACGUUUGCGGUUUGUAGAGUACCCGGAUAAAAAGCAUCGGCUAACUCCGUGCCAGCAGCCGCGGUAAUACGGAGGAUGCUAGCGUUAUCCGGAUUUAUUGGGGUUAAAGGGUGCGUAGGCGGACGCUUAAGUCAGCGGUAAAAUUGCGGGGCUCAACCUCGUCGAGUCGGUGAAACUGGGUGCAUUGAGUGGGCGAGAAGUACGCGGAAUGCGUGGUGUAGCGGUGAAAGGCAUAGAUAUCACGCAGAACUCCGAUUGCGAAGGCAGCGUACCGGCGCCCAACUGACGCUGAAGCACGAAGGCGUGGGUAUCGAACAGGAUGAGAUACCCCUGUAGUC